CAAAACAAAACUUUGGUGAUGAGGAUGGCUUCUUUGAAAAGAAAAUACAUUUCUUCCCCAAGUAUCUAUUAAUGCUUGGCUUAAUAGAAAACAGCUGGAUUUUCACAUAUGCUUCUGCAUUUAAUCAGUUGUGAUAUGUUGUUUUGGUUGUAGUAUAUAAAGAAAAUAGAGCUUCUGUACCCAGAUAUGUAGUUAGAAAGGGAGAAGUAUUUUAAGAGCCUUUUCAGGUAGUUGUAGGUAUUCUUACCUGAUAAUCAUCAAACUCAAGUUGUCAUUUUUAAAAAGGUUGUUGCAGUGUGGGAUUGGGAAACCUCAUCGAACUUUUGUGCUCUGUUUAAUUCAAACCUGUUGCUUUAUCUUGUUCUUUGAAUGGUCUUUUACCCAUGUAUAAUUUUGUAACAUCAUGCAUGGAUUAUUUGGAACAUAUUGGCUCACUGAUUUGUAUAGAUCUUCCAAAUGUGGGCACAUUUCAUUGUAAAUGUAAAAAAGGGAAAAGCACAUAUGCUAAUAUCAUCUUGAGCUCAGCAGAAAAGUCUUUAAAUACUGGGAAGCUACCAAGUUCAUAGUAGCAGAAACAAGUUAUUUAAAAUAUUUAUUUUUACUUGAAAGCUUGAAUUUUAUCACCGAAAAUACAUACUGUUAAUUGUUUUUCCAAAAGGGUCUCGGUAUCCCACUGGGGCCAUAGGCCACACUUUGAGGGUCACUGGCGUAAGAGCUUAGAUUGGGGAGAAGCAAGUUGGAAAACAUUUGUCUAAAGGUCCAAACAAAUUAAUUUUCAGGGUGCUGAAGGAACUUGAAGACGAGGUCUCAGAAUCACUAGCAGUGGGGGAAUGGGAGAGAGUUCAGACAUGUAGGAAUGAGAAAAGACUGCCUUGCCUCUCCAGAGGGAUGUAUUCUGGGUAACUCUGAUUCCCAGAAAAAGACUAUGGGAUAUUCCGUAGCAGGUAGCUUAAGAUUACAAAAUAAUUCUGUGAUUGCCAGAUGUGGUGAAGGCUAGGAGGUCAUCUCAAAUAUCGUUUUUUCUUUCUGAUCAUGUGACACAAUGUGUCACAUGGUAUAUACACUGAGCUAUUUGAAUAACUACAUAAAGACAGUUGAAGAGUAAUUUGUGUGGGUACUGCUUGUACAAAAUGGCACAUGUUGCUUUUGAUCAGAAAAUCAAACAUAAAGAAAUUAUACAUAAUAUAAUUUCUCAUAAAAGAAAAUUUAUAGAAUACCUACCAUAUGCAAAAUGUGGUGUUGGGAAAAUGGCAGCUCUGAGGGGCACAUAUGAGGAAGUAGCAUGGCAUUAUGGGAAGAUCAUAGCAUUAGGAGUCGGGACACUUGAAAAUGUGUUCAUCCUGGUUUUCCACCAACUCAGUGGCUGCCCUUGGGCAAGUGACUUCGAUUCUAGACCUACGCUUGAUAUCUGUCAUAUUAAAGAAGUUAAGGCCUCUGAAAGGGAUGGAGUUGUGCUCUCUUAUGCCAUGGAGCGUAACCAGAGUUGACAAAUGGGAUUUUGGAGAUGUCAGUUUGCCUUACGGUGGCUAACUUCCUAUCUCCGUGAGGUCCAUUACUGAAGCCACUAGCCUCACAUGGCUAUUGAGCACUCAAACUAGGACUAGUCUAAAUUGCGAUUUGCUCUCAGUGUAAGUUACACACCAGAUUUUGAAGACUUCAUAUGAAAAAUAGAAUGUAAAAUAUCCCAUCAGUAAUUUUCAUAUUAAUUUCAUGUUACAAAAGAUAAGUUUUGGAUGCAUUGGGCUAUGUUAAAGUAUUAAAUUAAUUUCAUCGGUAUUUUUAAAAAAUACCUGGCUACUAGAGAGCUUAAAAUUACAUAGAUGGCUCACGUUAUAUUUCUUUUAGACAGUGCUGUUCUAGCUAACAGAGUUUCCAACAAAAGAACAGUAACUUGAAGAAGAACAUAAAUUUACGUUUAAUUUUACUUUUUGAGGUUUGCAAGCAGAACCCGGGUCACAGUUUUGAGAAGACAGCCUCACAGAAGACUGCGUGUGCUAUGCAGCUGGGCUAUACUGGGUUCUCCAUCUGCACUUGGAUCUUCAAAGAUUAUUGUUUGGAUGACCAUGCAGGCGCAGAGAACUGAGACAGUGAUGUUAGGAAGCUGGUGAAAACGCUCCCCUAUUUAUUUCUGCCUGCUUGUCUGUGACCGGUGUUUCACAAAAGGAGUGAGAAAUUAGUAACCACAUGCUGGGUAAGAUGUUCACGAGAAGGUCAGGAAGCUUGUUUGUCAACCUUAAUUGACAACUGAUGUUUAAAAGGCGAAGCAUCAUUCUCGUAAUUUAAUGGGAGAAAUUGCUAUUUAGUGUCAGAGGGGGAAGAGCUACCAUAUGCAAAAGCCUGUGGAAAUGAGAAAGACGGACAAAAUAAUCCCCUUUUUGUUUUAGGAAAACGUAAAGUGGUGCCCCAGGGAUUGUUGGCAAAUAUUAUCAUCUUUGAAAGCUACUACUUAACACAAAUUCCGGGAAACCAGAGGCUUCUGGGUAAUGUGAAUCACAAGGAAAGAAUGCCCCGUUUUGUGGCUGAAACUUUUUAAUGGAAUACUGGUUGAUCUUAGCGAAGAAGGCCAGGGGUCAGGGUCAGUUUGGGAGAAUUUUCUGCCUGUUUCUGUAGAGGCCCCUACAUAAAACACUUCUUUCUCGGCCUGAUUGAAAUGUUUCAUGUGAUCACCUACCCGUGGGAGCCACUCACAUCUCCAGAGAUAUGCUUCCUCCUUUUUCCCUAUGUUGCCUAACUUGAGAUAGAGCUUAAUAGGGCUCUACUCAUUCUUUAAAUGAACAUUUAUUAAGCACUGGUUGCCUCCAUGCCUCCUGUAUUUGACGAUCUUGAUUUAGAGAUGGUGUAUCUGAGACAGGAUCCCCUUAGCCAAACAGAAUCACUCUACGUUUUAAACCAGAGGGCAUUUACUACAGGGAAUUGGUUACCUGAUGAGGGGGAAACUGAGAUGCCAAAGUGGGUGGUAAGGCCACCCAGUGGUUAUCGUAAGAGCAGGCAACUGCUUCGGCCCCAGGGCUGCAGAGGGCCGGGGGGAACGAUUGGGGGGGAUUGUUGUGGGGUGUCCAGGAGCAUCACAGAAAGCUGAGAGGAGGGGAGAGAGAUCCUGACUCCUUUGGGUUUCUAGCUUUCUAAUCUUUCACUGGUGUCUCCACAGGCCAAACCCACCCAGAACUGGAGGAAAGGGAGGAAGAAGUUCCUCGUAAUACAGAGUACAGCACUAGGAGAGAGAUGGGUGUGGCUGCAUGUCCUUAUUCCAAUCUAAGCAAUGUGUGCAGAAGUGAAUCGUGCUUCAUUUUGGUGAGAUGGGGCCUUUGGGACCUACCCUGUGCUGGGCUUUAUGCUUUUCCUCUUCCUGGCUGACUGGGUUGAGACCUUGGAAACCAAGUCAGGAAGAUGCUGGAGCUGCCAUCAGCACAGGCCUCCCUACUGUCUGGAAACAUACCCUGGACCAUAUGUGAGCCAGAAAUAAACAUUUCUUAAUGUGAGCCCUUGUGUAUAUGAAUCUAUCAGCAUAGCUCAGCUACCCUAAUCAUAAUCGUAGUGACAUAAGAGGUUGGUGUAAGUAAAUGAAAGUUUGAGCUGGGGCCAUAGAAGUGAGGAUGGAGAAGCAGGAGGAGAGGGAGUAAAUGGCUGUUUAGAAGACAGAAAAAACAGGUGCUGGAAAGUGGUUGGCUUCGUGGGUGAGAGCGGUCCAGCAUGGCUCCUGAUUCCUGCCUUGGGUGACUGGUCAGAUGAUGGUAACAUUCCAUGAUGGAACCAGAAGAGGAGCAGGAUGUUUGGUGUUAGGGGUAUGGACCUGAUUUAGUGAAGGUCUGGGAUUUAGACAUUUGGGAGACGAUAAACUUAUGAAGGUAUGAAAUGAUUCAUUUAAGCAUAGA
Molecule: long non-coding RNA, 3872 nt
Organism: Herpailurus yagouaroundi (jaguarundi)
Lineage: Eukaryota; Metazoa; Chordata; Mammalia; Carnivora; Felidae
Exons: 3
Source: RefSeq, a predicted model, not a curated record